AUUCUUACCUGGCAGGAGAAACACCUUGAUCAUGAAAGUUUUCCCAGGGUGAAUUUCAUCCAUUGCAUUCCAGCUAUGCUGGCUCCUGAAAUUUUCCCAAAUGCAAGAAAGUCCACUGCAUAAUUUGUGCUAUUGCAGGACUGUGUCUAACACAGGGCAAUA
Small nuclear RNA from Varanus komodoensis (Komodo dragon), 162 nucleotides. Its record names the gene U1. It matches the Rfam family "U1 spliceosomal RNA". Rfam says of the family: U1 is a small nuclear RNA (snRNA) component of the spliceosome (involved in pre-mRNA splicing). Its 5' end forms complementary base pairs with the 5' splice junction, thus defining the 5' donor site of an intron. There are significant differences in sequence and secondary structure between metazoan and yeast U1 snRNAs, the latter being much longer (568 nucleotides as compared to 164 nucleotides in human). Lineage: Eukaryota; Metazoa; Chordata; Lepidosauria; Squamata; Varanidae. The record is from Ensembl.